Molecule: ribosomal RNA, 590 nt
Filed under: Bacillus sp. CH83b_3T
Lineage: Bacteria; Bacillati; Bacillota; Bacilli; Caryophanales; Bacillaceae
Description: bacterial SSU rRNA
Rfam family: Bacterial small subunit ribosomal RNA
Source: RNAcentral
CAGUCGAGCGGACUUUUAAAGCUUGCUUUUGAAAGGUCAGCGGCGGACGGGUGAGUAACACGUGGGCAACCUGCCUGUAAGACUGGGAUAACUUCGGGAAACCGGAGCUAAUACCGGAUAAUAUAAGGAACCUCCUGGUUCUUUAUUGAAAGAUGGUUUCGGCUAUCACUUACAGAUGGGCCCGCGGCGCAUUAGCUAGUUGGUGAGGUAAUGGCUCACCAAGGCGACGAUGCGUAGCCGACCUGAGAGGGUGAUCGGCCACACUGGGACUGAGACACGGCCCAGACUCCUACGGGAGGCAGCAGUAGGGAAUCUUCCACAAUGGACGAAAGUCUGAUGGAGCAACGCCGCGUGAGCGAUGAAGGCCUUCGGGUCGUAAAGCUCUGUUGUUAGGGAAGAACAAGUGCGAGAGUAACUGCUCGCACCUUGACGGUACCUAACCAGAAAGCCACGGCUAACUACGUGCCAGCAGCCGCGGUAAUACGUAGGUGGCAAGCGUUGUCCGGAAUUAUUGGGCGUAAAGCGCGCGCAGGUGGUCCUUUAAGUCUGAUGUGAAAGCCCACGGCUCAACCGUGGAGGGUCAUUGGAAA